AUUGAACGCUGGCGGCAUGCUUUACACAUGCAAGUCGAACGGUAACAGGCCUUCGGGUGCUGACGAGUGGCGAACGGGUGAGUAAUGCAUCGGAACGUGCCCAGAGGUGGGGGAUAACGCAGCGAAAGCUGUGCUAAUACCGCAUGUGAUCUGAGGAUGAAAGCGGGGGACCAGGCAGCAAUGUUUGGCCUCGCGCCUUUGGAGCGGCCGAUGUCAGAUUAGGUAGUUGGUGGGGUAAAGGCCUACCAAGCCGACGAUCUGUAGCUGGUCUGAGAGGACGACCAGCCACACUGGGACUGAGACACGGCCCAGACUCCUAGGGGAGGCAGCAGUGGGGAAUUUUGGACAAUGGGCGCAAGCCUGAUCCAGCAAUGCCGCGGGCGGGAAGAAGGCCUUCGGGUUGUAAACCGCUUUUGUACGGAACGAAAAGGCUCUGGCUAAUACCGGGGGCUGAUGACGGGACCGUAAGAAUAAGCACCGGCUAACUACGU
RNAcentral lists this ribosomal RNA (491 nucleotides) under uncultured bacterium. Its description in RNAcentral is "partial 16S ribosomal RNA". It matches the Rfam family "Bacterial small subunit ribosomal RNA", at positions 29 to 506 of the family's 1533-position model. The record is from RNAcentral.